This is a long non-coding RNA of Anolis sagrei ordinatus, 1667 nucleotides long. RefSeq lists it as uncharacterized. Lineage: Eukaryota; Metazoa; Chordata; Lepidosauria; Squamata; Anolidae. The record is from RefSeq and is a predicted model, not a curated record.
CACAAUCUCAGCUGUGAAAUGGAAACUCUCCUCUUUGGGGCUGGAAAUAUAGGAGUUAUGGUUGUGGGAAAGAUUUUCCUGUCAACUGUUUCGUGCAAAGACUCCCCACUUCUGGAUACACACACAUUUCUCUUGCUUCUCUCUGGUUUCAUCCUUAGCAUCACAUCAUAAAGCCAAGUGGUCUUUUGAGUGAAAGGAUUUUGAAUGAGACGAACAAUUCAAACCCCAAAGACUUGAAAAAGCUUUAGACACUACAGACCAAUUUGCGCAGCUGCUUUGUAUCAUCCACCAGAUGGAACUGAGGAGUCAGAAAAACCAGCACACUUUAUUCCCUGUAGAAGAACAGACAGGACUGAUUUUUUUUUCUGUAUCAGGAGCGACUUGAGAAACUGCAAGUUGCUUCUGCUGUGACAAUUGGCCGUCUGCAAGGACAUUGCCCAGGGAAUGCCCGGAUGUUUGACCAUCCUGUGGAAGGCUUCUCUCGUGUCCUCGGUUGUGUCAACUCCUCUGGCUGCCAGUUUGCUACUGAGCACAAUUCAAAGUGCAGGCGUUAGCCUAUAAAGCCCUAAAUGGUUCCAGCCCAGCUUACCUGUCCGAAUGAACAGGAAGACACUGGUGAUUCGAUGUUCUUAAUGUUUUUUAAAUGGAUUUGUAUAAUAUUGUGCUAAAUGUUUUAAAUUGUAUUUUAUGACUGUUGUGGCAUCAAAUUGCUGCCAAUUUGAAAGCUGCCUUGAGUCGCCUUUGGGCUGAGAAAGACCAGAUAGAAAUACCAUAAAUAUAAUGUAUAUAUGCAUGCCCCUGCUUGAAAAGCUGGAGCUGACAGAUGGGAGCUCAACCUGCUCCCCAGAUUCGAACCACUGAUCAUGGGGCAGGGGUUCCAGGCAGGACUGAUGGGAGACUACAAAAAUUAAGAAGACUUUUGUUUUCCCUCUGCAAAAUUCCUGCCAAGAUGGAGGCAGAGAAGAGAGAAAUCCAAACUUUCUGAAGUGGUCUCAGGGACCAACCCCCUGCAUCAUUCCAGGCAACUCUUGUCAACCCAUUUUUAAAGAAAGGAAGCAACUAACACAUCAUUUUCAAUUUUUAUUUCUCUUUGAUCAAAGUGGAAGUCACAAAAAAUAUCAUUAACCCCAUGAAGACAUGAUGUCCAGAUCACCCUCAUCUCACAGAAUCAGCACACAGUUACGGACUUGUAAAAGCUACUUCUAGUAAUGCUGGAUUUUCUUAUAUCGCUGACAGGGCUAAACAUUUGUAAAAAGACAGUCUGCUUCUCUAGAACUCUAAAAAAAAGUACUCUUGUUUGUACUUAACACACACAGACGAACCUUUGGAACAUAAACAAAUAUUGUAGCAUGAUGCUUCUUCAUAUCAAAAAUACCAGUGUCUCUGCUGAACAUACAAAUGGAACGCUUAGCAACUACGCUGUUCAUACAGUGGGAUCAUAAAUUGAGGAGAACUUUUACACCUGCAUUACAUUACUCCUAUCCUUAAAGGAGCAUAUGACAACAUGAAUGCAAACACAAUACACUGAGAUAGUCAUUUUGGUGCUUAAGAUGUGCUGAUUGCAGAGACAUCUGUUUGAAAUAACCCAUACAUUCUAUAAAGAUAUGUAAACAGUUCAGGUACGGCAGAUUAUUCCCCACAAAAAGAAAAUAUAAAAUAAAGAUAAA